AUGAACCGUCUGCGGGCGGCAGCGCAGCGGGAGCAGCACGGGCUUCACCUCCCCGGGCCAUGUCUCCCCCUUCCACCAUCGCUCCUCCUCCACCUCCUUCACGGCCUCCCUCCCGGGCACCGCCCGAGCAGCCUCGACAGGGACGACCUGGAUCCGGACCCGGCCGCGGCCACCACGGAGGCUCUCGCCAAGGUCGACCUCUCCGACGAUCCGGACGCCACCGCCACCGCCACCGCCAAGUCCGCGGCUCCAGCAAGCCCCGUCAGGCAGCCAGAGGCGGCGGCUGCGACGUGGGUGAUCGCAAUCAACAAGGAGUUCCCGGGCCCCGUCGUCAACGUCACCACAAACUACAAUGUCGCCGUCAACGUCCUCAACAGCCUCGACGAGCCGCUCCUCAUCACCUGGGACGGCAUCCAGCAGCGGAAGAACUGCUGGCAGGACGGCGUGCUGGGCACCAACUGCCCCAUCCCGCCCGGAUGGAACUGGACCUACAACUUCCAGGUCAUGGACGACGCGUGCAAGUCGCUCGACUAUCCAGAAGACCAGACCUGUGCUUUCAGUUCAGUUUCGUCAGAUAUAUCUGCUGCCAUGCUCUUCUAUUUGUAUUCAGUUUGGUCAGGCUUGUGGUUCCUGGACGGCCUUGGCUAUCCUAUCUAUCUCAGCUUCAUCAGUUAG
RNAcentral lists this ribosomal RNA (675 nucleotides) under Triticum aestivum (bread wheat). RNAcentral describes it as "partial small subunit ribosomal RNA". The record is from RNAcentral. Lineage: Eukaryota; Viridiplantae; Streptophyta; Magnoliopsida; Poales; Poaceae.